Molecule: ribosomal RNA, 94 nt
Filed under: uncultured bacterium
Lineage: Bacteria
Description: partial 16S ribosomal RNA
Source: RNAcentral
AUUGUAAACUUCUGUUAAGUGGGAGGAAAUGCCGAUUAAUAAUACGAACCGGAGCUGACUGUACCAUUAGAGAAAGCACCGGCUAAACUCGUGC